RNAcentral lists this ribosomal RNA (433 nucleotides) under uncultured bacterium. RNAcentral describes it as "partial 16S ribosomal RNA". It matches the Rfam family "Bacterial small subunit ribosomal RNA", at positions 29 to 507 of the family's 1533-position model. The record is from RNAcentral.
AACGAACGCUGGCGGCAUGCCUAACACAUGCAAGUCGAACGAGACCUUCGGGUCUAGUGGCGCACGGGUGCGUAACGCGUGGGAACCUGCCUUUAGGUUCGGAAUAACUCAGAGAAAUUUGAGCUAAUACCGGAUGAUGUCUUCGGACCAAAGAUUUAUCGCCUUUAGAUGGGCCCGCGUUGGAUUAGCUAGUUGGUGGGGUAAAGGCCUACCAAGGCGACGAUCCAUAGCUGGUCUGAGAGGAUGAUCAGCCACACUGGGACUGAGACACGGCCCAGACUCCUACGGGGGGCAGCAGUGGGGAAUAUUGGACAAUGGGCGAAAGACUGAUCCAGCAAUGCCGCGUGAGUGAUGAAGGCCUUAGGGUUGUAAAGCUCUUUUAACCGAGAUGAUAAUGACAGUAUCGGGAGAAUAAGCUCCGGCUAACUCCGUG